Molecule: small RNA, 127 nt
Filed under: Marmota monax (woodchuck)
Lineage: Eukaryota; Metazoa; Chordata; Mammalia; Rodentia; Sciuridae
Source: RNAcentral
GCCAGGUGUGGUGGCACACGCCUGUAAUCCCAGUGAUUCAGGAGGCUGAGGCAGGAGGAUCACAAAUUCAAAGCCAACCUCAGCAAAUUAGCAAGGCCCUAAGGAACUUAGUGAGACUCUGGUUCAU